This 162-nucleotide ribosomal RNA is filed under the name Chloroflexota bacterium. Its description in RNAcentral is "Chloroflexi bacterium partial 23S ribosomal RNA". It matches the Rfam family "Bacterial large subunit ribosomal RNA", at positions 2771 to 2925 of the family's 2925-position model. The record is from RNAcentral. Lineage: Bacteria; Bacillati; Chloroflexota.
CUGAAGGCAUCUAAGCGCGAAGCAUCCCCCAAGAUAAGGCCUCCCUCCCCGAUUCAGUUCGAGGGUAAGACUGCAGCGAGACUAGCUGCUUGAUAGGCCGGAUGUGUAAGGCUGGGAACAGCUUCAGCAAACCGGUACUAACCAGUCGAGAGAUUUGACCCA